Long non-coding RNA from Mustela erminea (ermine), 882 nucleotides. RefSeq lists it as uncharacterized. The record is from RefSeq and is a predicted model, not a curated record. The transcript has 2 exons. Lineage: Eukaryota; Metazoa; Chordata; Mammalia; Carnivora; Mustelidae.
CCAAGUUGGGAGGAGGGAGAGGGACAUGCAUACAUGCUAAGCCAUGAGCCCAGCCAGGGGGCUCUUUCCCAGGACCCUGGGAUCAUGAGCCCAAGGCAGAUGUCUGAUCAACUGAGCCACCCAGGCACCCCAGUGUUUAGAGUUUUCUACCUAGAAGUUCAUGUAUCUGUAAACAAAUAAUUUAUUUCUUCCUUUACAUUCUGAAUGAAUGCCUUUUAUUUGUUUGUUUUUGUCUAAUCGCUAUGGCUAGACCUUCCUGUACUGUGUUGAAUAGAAGUGGUGAAAGUAGACAUCCUUGCCUUGUUCUUAAUCUUAAAGGAAAACUUUGUCUUUUCCACUCCUGGAAUUUUAGGUCAUAAAUGCAAACAACACCAAGGUCCUGUGCACAUGGAAGCUCAGUUUGCAUGGUUUUAAGUGGCAAAAAAUGGAAUACAAAACAAGCCCCUCAGGGAGUAGAUGAAUAGAAUAUGUUAUCUCCACACCAUGGACUAUUAGGUAGCCUUUAAAAGAGUGAAUUGGGAAUUUAAAAAAAGAAUGAAUUGUAGUGAUAUCACUUGACUUGGGAGGAUUUUCACAAGAUAAUGAAAAAAGCAAUAUGCAGAGAAAUAUGGGUAAUGUCAAUCUAUUAAAAUAAAACUAAUCCUCAUAUUUAUGUGUAUAUCUCCAUACAUAUGUAUAAAUCAUGUAUGUGAUUAUAUGUGCAUUGAGAAAAACAAAAAGGAAUAUGUACUUGAUUGUUAACAUGGACACAUCAGUUAUUGAUGUAGAAGAUAGAGAAAAAAGGAAAAAGUUCCCAGAAUGAAUAGUAUGAUUACUUUUUGAAUUUCUGUAAACUGUGUUUUUAUGUCUAUAAAUGGGUAUAUUUAUUUACAGCAUCUUUAA